This 253-nucleotide ribosomal RNA is filed under the name uncultured bacterium. RNAcentral describes it as "partial 16S ribosomal RNA". It matches the Rfam family "Bacterial small subunit ribosomal RNA", at positions 524 to 776 of the family's 1533-position model. The record is from RNAcentral.
UACGGAGGAUGCAAGCGUUAUCCGGAAUGAUUGGGCGUAAAGAGCUCGUAGGCGGUCUGUCGCGUCUGCUGUGAAAACUCAGGGCUUAACCCUGAGCUUGCAGUGGGUACGGGCAGACUAGAGUGCGGUAGGGGAGACUGGAAUUCCUGGUGUAGCGGUGAAAUGCGCAGAUAUCAGGAGGAACACCGGUGGCGAAGGCGGGUCUCUGGGCCGUAACUGACGCUGAGGAGCGAAAGCAUGGGGAGCGAACAGG